This 102-nucleotide ribosomal RNA is filed under the name Caerostris darwini. Lineage: Eukaryota; Metazoa; Arthropoda; Arachnida; Araneae; Araneidae. The record is from RNAcentral.
GCAUGCUGAAUAUACCGGUUCUCGUUAGAUCACCGAAGUCAAGCAUCAUUGGGCGUGGUCAGUACUUGGGUGGGUGACCACCUGGGAACACCGCGUACCGUU